This is a long non-coding RNA of Ictalurus punctatus (channel catfish), 2333 nucleotides long. The record is from Ensembl. NCBI's taxonomy places the organism in Eukaryota, Metazoa, Chordata, Actinopteri, Siluriformes, Ictaluridae.
AAUACCUCCUGAAGAUGACCUUUUCACUGCUGGUAUUGUGACCACAAAAGCUAGUACCCCAAAACCACAUUCAAAUGAUCUUGAUGUUACUCCAGCUGAAGGUGACCAGAAUUGUAAAGAUGAAAGGAAAGAAAGAGGAGAAGUAAGAAGGUCUCCAAUCAAGCUGAAAAUGAAUGCUCAGUGUACACAAUCUGGUACACCAGACCCAAAUGUGAAUGUAUCCUCAGAGACUAGCAGUGUCUCUUCAAAUCCUUCAACCUAUGGAGUUAAUAUGAGUAUCACAGAACCAGACCCUAAUCUAGGUGAUUCAGUACAGAACUCUAACUCACCAUCUGCUAAAUCACCAGAUAAAGAAGCACAUAGACUAGUAGGUUCAGAGAUCGUCAGGGUCACUUUGUCAGUUGAACAAGUUUGUGAGGCAAAUAUUUGGUCAAGAGCAGAGUUAUCCAAGACUCCCGCACAAAACAUUGAACAGAAAAGGCCAGUCAUUCUGUCACAUACCAAAACAUCUAGAGAAAAAAAUUCUCCACCAAGAUAUCCUCCAUGUAAAAGGGUAAAGGUUACCAAUACUGUAUCAAUACAUGCUGAAGAUGACCUUUUCGCCCCUGAUAUUGUGGUCAAAAAGCUAGCUCCCCAAUACAACAUCCAAGUGACCCUACUGUUACUCCUGCUAAAAAUAACCAGUAUUGCAAAUAUGAAAGGAAGGAAAGAGGAGAAGAAAGAAAGUCUCCAAUCAUGUUGAAACUUCAACGUAUGCAACAUUCUGGCCCAACCAAAACAGAUUCACAUGGGAAAUGGUACAAGCCAUCUGUUACGUCCCAAAUGCCAAAUGUUACACCUCAGCCGAAAAGUUCAGAUCCAAACAAAGAGGAAGAACUUGGUAAGACAAAACAAACUGGACAGAACAAAGAAAAGCUGAGAUUUUCGCUGUAUGGAUUCAGUAAUGGCAACAGGAACAGAAUCGUCCAUCAAUGCUCCAGGACAAAGUCGUCCACAGCUCCUGCUUACGUCACAAUCUCAAACAGCCUUGAAACUGCACAGAGCUACACGGAUGCACCUUCGGCUAAGCAAAAGGUCUAUAGCCAGUGGAGUAGCACAUUUGUGGAAACAAAAAAGGAUACCUCUUCACAUAAGAAGCAUCAAAAACCUGUGAAAGCAGAUCUGAAAUCCAGGACACCAGCACUCAAAAGACUUGUUCAAGACAGAUUCGCUAUGAAAGAGAAGCAAUCCACAAAGGAUCUGAGGCAUAAACAAAGUGCUGAAGAUUUUAUUGUUGAACAAGAAGCCAAAAGGUCGAAGUGUAACACUGCUGAUGAAAACUUGGACACACAAACUACAAUGGUUCUUAUGUAGUAUGUUCGAAAAUACACUUGUACUAUAUAAUAAAUAACUAUAUAAAUAAUCAUUGCUUAUAAACUCUUUUUAUGGUAAAUCUGUGUCAAAGUGUCAAAUCUGGAUUAUUUCAGUGCUGAAUCCAUACUCUGCUCGUUUCUUUUCUUUCACUAGUAAUUGCUAGUGAAAGAGAAGGCUCUCUCUUUCUAUGUCUUUUUUUUUUAUUUUUAUCUCUUUCCAAUUCCAGUGAUAUAACCUACUUUAACGGUUGUUUUGUUUAGCUGAUAAUAUAUUGUGUUGUCAAUUUAAUUCACCACUUUUUUUUAGUGGUUUUAUGAAUGCUAAAAUAUUGUUUUGCUCUAUGAGCUGGGAGCUUGAUAACUGUGGAACUUUUUUUUUUACCUUUUUAUAUUGUUGAGGUUUUACAAUUUAUUAUUUGUAUUUUUUAUAAUAAAGUUUUGUAUGAAAAUGUUGCCAUGUUACUGGACGAAUUAGUUAUGACAAGCAAUACUCUACAAUUGUUUGAACAAAUUAUGAACACAGAGGUGUUCAAAGUUGUUUGUACAGCGGGGAGAAAUAAGUAUUGAAUGUGUCAACAUUUUUUUUUCAGUAAAUAUAUUUCCAAUGAGGCUAUUCACAUGAAAUUUUCACCAGACAUCAGUAUUAACUCAAGAAAUCCAGAAAUUUAAAGAAUUCACAACAUUAAACUCCAUAAAUAAAGUUAUGUGUAAUAAAGUGGUAUUACAUGGGAAAAAAAGUAUUGAAUACUCUAAGAAAAAGCAGUUCUCCAAUGCAAGGAACCAUCUGUAAGUAAUUAUACCCCCAUCUGUGAAAAUUAAUAUCAGCUGGGUUAGUAAAUUGAUGGUCUAUAAAAAGGCUUUUUGUUACCAAGGUGUCAUAGAAAAAACAUCUCAUGAUGGGUAAAAGCAAAGAGCUCUCCCAAGACCUUCGCAACCUUAUUGUUGCAAAACAUAUUAAUACAGAUACAGACGUAUUUCUAA